CCUGGCGGCACUAGCGCGGUGGUCCCACCUGACCCCAUGCCGAACUCAGAAGUGAAACGCCGUAGCGCCGAUGGUAGUGUGGGGUCUCCCCAUGCGAGAGUAGGGAACUGCCA
This 113-nucleotide ribosomal RNA is filed under the name Salmonella enterica. RNAcentral also lists the same sequence under 8 other names. Lineage: Bacteria; Pseudomonadati; Pseudomonadota; Gammaproteobacteria; Enterobacterales; Enterobacteriaceae. The record is from RNAcentral.